AGAAACUAUAGACAGUUUCUUCAAAGAUCUAAUGCAAGAGAGGAAGAGGUGGUUUCAGGAUGGAAAAACUCAGCCUCCUUGUCUAGCAGAUGAGUUUGGAUCUCAAAAUUGUAUGUGCUCCCAUAACAAGAUGCAUAACUAAACUCCUUGGAACCAUGACUUGAAAUGGUCAUGAUUAUCAAGUAUGUUUUUGAUGCAAGAGUGACUCAAUAAAAUUUAUGAUCUAAAUCGAUCUAUAGUUUUCUAAUAAAUUUAUAUGUAUACUUUCUUUGUUGUGCUUUUACACGAAUGUUACUCAAUAAAAUUUGUAAUAUAGAGUCAUUUAGAGUUUUCAAAUCAAUUUUUAUGUAUACGUUGUUUACAAAUUUUGUAAUUUAACUUUUUACAAUUAGGAAUGGCAAUAGUUUGGGUUCGGGUGGGUUAGGGCGGGGCAAACCUCAACCCGCUAAGAGUUAAACCCCCCCUACCCCGUCCCAUUUAAAAAAUUUUCAAUAGUGUUACUUGUCCCGCCCUGCCCCGUUUAAGUUUUAAUUUACACUUUUUAUAUGAUCUACACUCUUAUUGAUCUACAGUCCCAUUAAUUCAUUCACUUGUUACUAACACACGGUUUGACAGUUGAUAGGAAUUUUGGAUUAGUAUUACAAUUGUACUAGAAAAUGAGACAUGUUCAGGGGUGGCUCGACAGUAUUAAAAAAAAAAAAGGAUAUUGAAUUUUUAUAAGUUAUAAUUUUUAAAAAAAGGGAUAAUGCCCAAGUACCCCCUCAGCCUAUGUCCGAAAUCUCAGAGACACACUUAUACUAUACUAAGGUCUUAUUACUCACCUGAACUUAUUUCAUUAAUAAUUUUUUACCCCUUUUUGACCUACGUGGCACUAUCUUGUGGGCCCAACGAUUGUUGACUUUUUUAAAAAAAACUAGUGCCACGUAUGCUAAAAAGGGGUAGAAAAUUACUUAUAAAAUAAGUUCAGGGGGUAAUAGGACCUUAGUAUAGUAUAAGUGUGUCUCUGGGAUUUCGGGCAUAGGUUGAGGAGGUACUUGUGCAUUAUCCCUUAAAAAAAUAUUGAAUUGUAGAAAAAGUAAACUUUUUAUGAAAAAUGAAAGAAUUAUUAGAAGAAAUUUGACUUAUUUGGAUUACUGUAUCUCUAAAAAAUAUUUUAAAAUAAGAAAGGAUAUAUUAUCAAUUGAAAAUUAGAAGAAAUCAAUCAUAUAAAAAUUAAUAACUAUUCAGUUUAAGGCCCCGUUUGAUUUUUGCUUUAGGCCACUAAUAUGCUUGAGCCGCUCCUGGACAUGUCCUUUUCCAAUCAAACCCUUGAGUUAGUGUGUGUUCGGUUGUUUGUCUAAAUUUUCGAAAAAUAUUUUCUUUAUGAAAAUAAUUUUUUAAAAUAAGAAAAAAUGAUUUUUUAGUGGAAGUAAUGAAAAAUAAAUUCCACAAACUCUUUACAUUUACUAUGUCCUCCCCACUUAUUCAAUAUGAUUAGGGUGAAAAAAUACAUUCUAAGAAGCAGUAUAUAUCAGUUAUAGGUUAUUAAUUCUAAAUAUAGAAAGAUGGAAAAUAUAUUGAACAUUCUGAGGAUAGAUGAAAGAGCUGCUGUUAAUUACAUGCACUUGUUCACUUAUUUCAUUCAAAUAUUGUCUACACAUUUAUAUAUACACUACUCUUGGAAACGUGCGUUGCACGUUUGAUCUCUACUAUUAUAGACAAUUUAUAUAAGCCUAACUUCAUAGAUAUAAAAAUGAUCGUGGUUACUAAUUAAAGUCGCGAACAUUCAACUCAAUCGUCAAAAGAUUAAUUUCAGUCUCCUUGAAGAAUCCAACAUGUCUUCUCUCAUUGCAAGCUCCAUUAGAAGUAGUAAGAAUUUGCAAGAGAACAUUUGAUAUUUUCACGAUCUUUUUGUAAAUAUCCAAGAAUUUAUGAGAUACUCGAGAUGCAUCUUUGAGGAAUAUAUAUUAGCCUUUUAUAACGACAUGAUCUAGAGUGUAGAGUAACCUCCAAGAAUCCUAACAGAAAUAAAACCCGUCUCGUGAAGUACAAUUCCAAGGAAUUGAAGAACACAUCUAAGGAUCCAAUUCUGGUGGUUCUUGUUAAAAAUAUCAUUUACUAAUUAAAGUAUGCUCUCUCUAAUAGUUAAAACUUUUAGAUGAGAUGAUCACACACUUCAACUUGAUAUUAGAGCCGACAAAGGUCUUGUAAUCGAAUCUUACGCCACCCAAAUUAUAUCAAGGCACCCUUAUACCUCCAACAUUAAGGUAAGUUUCUGCCAUAUAAUUCUAAGCCUUUUAAUUAGUUUUUAAUAAUAAAUUACGCAAUACAAUCCUAGCUGAAAGAGUUGAUUUGGUUCUUGUGUAAUAAAACUAAAUGGAAGAUGAAUUAACAUGAAUAUUUGGUAGGAAGAUAAUUAGUACAAAAUAAAAAUCAUGAUAGUAUCUUAGUAGCCAUAAAAUGAUUUCAUAUUCUUAACCUUGACAUUUUUGACAUAUAGUGAUGUCAUGGAUGACAUCAAUAUGAUGAAAUCAUUCAUAUAAAUAGGUAGCUCUUAAUUCAUUUUCAAAUCAUCCUUUCACUUGACUUCUCACCUUUUAAGGCAUUUGUGUUCUCUCUCUAGUAGUAUUUCACUUGUAUUAUUUGUAAAAUGAAAUACAUAUUGGUGCAAUUGUACUUUAAUGGAUGUAGGAUCAUUUUGAUCCAAACCAUGUUAAAUAUUGUUGUUCUUCCUUGUUCUUUAAUUUCACGUUUUCGCUAACAAUUAGUAUCAGAGCUAAGAUUUUACCUGAGUAUGCUAUGGGGUUACAGCACGGUCUAAACUUCAACAACAGAAAAGAAUUACUUUGAUUUUUUGUAGUUCCAAAUACAUUGUAGUAGAAAAGGAAGACCAAAUAAAAAAAUGAGUCGUAUGAAGUUUGAAAUUGAUAGAUUUAGUGGACGCAACAACUUUAAUAUCUGGGAAAUCCAGAUGAUUGCGUUACUAUGGAGGGAAGGUUCAAUCCAUGCUAUUAAUGGAAAAUGCCCCGAUAAGAUAUCGGAUUUCGACAAGGAGAAUAUUGAAGGAGAUGCAUUGAGUGUAAUUCAACUGUCCCUUGCACCUAAAGUACUUUUUGAAGCGAGUAGAAGUACCAAAGCAAACGGCCAAUGAGUUAUGGGAAAAGCUGGAAGGGCUUUACCAGGACCAGUCAGUGACAACAAGAAUGUCGUUGAAACGGCAUCUUCAUACACUUAAGAUGGAUUUAGGUUGUUUGUUGCAAGACCAUCUAGAUGCGUUCAAUAAACUUGUGAUGGACUUACAAACUGCUGGAAUUAAAAAGGACGAGGAGACGAUUACAUGUUCUUUGCUAUUUCCAUUGACUUCAAAAUAUCGUGAUAUUGAGAAUUCAAUAAUGUAUAGCAAACAACCUAUCAAACUUGAGCAAGUGCCACAAGCAUUAAACUCUUGCAAUGUGCGGAUGGAUUUUGAGCAAAAGUGACGAAGCUAGUGGACUCUUUGUAAGAGGUCAUACUAGCCAACAGAGAAGGAAAAAAUCAAAGUACAAAUCAGAAUCUCGUGUGAACAAAAAGAACGGGGGAGUGUUGGGGCUGUUAAAAGAAGGGGCACUUUGAACGAGAUUGUCUUUUGUCGAAGUCCAAAGAAAAGACGAGUGCAUUAAUUGUUGAGUAAGUACAUGAUAAUGGUGAUGAUUAUGUAUUAACAACAUCAUGUAAUAGUGGAGUCUAUGACAACAAAUGGGUCUUACACUCUGGUUGUACUGUGCAAAUGACAUUCCGAAAAGAUUGAUUCAACAUCUAUUAAACAAGCAACGAAACUAUAUCAAUGGGAACUAAUGCAACUUGUAAAAUAGUUGGCAUUGGAUCAGUUCGUGUUCUCUGUGAUGAUGGGAUCAUGAGGACUAUUAUAGAAGUCUGUCAUGUUCUUGAUCUGAAGAAGAAUUUGAUCUCCCUGGGUACUUUGGAUAAACAAGGCUAUAAGUACAUGAGUAAAGGAGGAACUAUGAAAGUGACUAAAUGAUCUUUACUCAUGCUGAAAGCCAAGCUGGAAGAUGGACUUUACACACUUGCGGUAAGAAGAUCAACACACUUGAAUAUUGUGAGCACUGCGUCUUAGGGAAACAGAAAAAGGUCAGCUUCAGCUCCGGCUAACUUAAGACAGGAGGAGUGCUAGACUACAUCCAUUCAGAUUUAUGGGGUCUCUCUAAGCUUCCAUCGAAGGGAUGAAAGAGGUAUCUUCUCACAUUCAUUGAUGAUUUUUCACAAAAGGUUUCGAUGCGUUUCCUGAAGACAAAAGUUGAUGCUUUUGAAAUAUUUAAAGAGUGGAAGAUUUUGGUUGAAAAUCAAAUGGAGAGAAAAAUCAAGUAUCUUCACACAGACAAUAGCUUGGAGUUUUGUAGUGAAGAUUUCAAUGAUUUAUGCAAGGUUCAUGGGAUCACAAGACAUAAGACGGUCAGGCACACACCACAACAGAAUGGAGUUGCCGAAAUAAUGAAUAAAAUUCUUCUCGAGAAGGCUUGUGUAUGCUCUUACAAGCCAAGAUGUCUUAAGUAUUUUGGGUUGAAGCAGUUCAUACCGCUUCUCAUAUUUUCAAUUGAUCUCCAGUAUCAACAAUUGACUUUAAGACUCUGAAUGAGGUCUGGUCAGGUGAACCCUCUAACUAUUCAUACUUGCGAAUAUUUGGGUGUCCAGCUUAUUAUCAUAUUAAUGAAGGAAAGCUUGAACCAAGGGCUAAAAAGGUCAUAUUCGUAGGGUAUAUAGAUGGAGUAAAAUGGUACAAACUUUGGUGUUUGUCUUUACUCAAAUUUGUAGUUUUUAGAGAUAUUACCUUUGAUGAAUCCUAUAUACUUGAUCCUCGUAAAAUUUCUGUGGAGUUAUCAAGAAAUGAAAACAACAAGCAGGUGGAGCUACCGAUGGAUCUUACCAAGGAACGAGAUCAAGAGACUCAAAUUGAUGAGUCAAAAGAUGCAGAUCUUGAAGAACUUGGUGUCAAUGAACCAUACACAAUUGCAAAGGGAAGGGACAAAAGGCAGAUACAAAAAUUGGAACGUCUUAUAGAGAAAGAAAAUCUAAUUGUACAUGCGUUCGUAGCUGCAGAAGUAGAGGUUAAGGAUCUCGACCCCUCUUUGUAUGUUAAGGCAACUUUUUGAGAUGUUGCACAAUGACAGUUAGCCAUGAUGGAAGAGAUGUAGUCUCUUCAAAAAAAUGAGAUAUGGGUCUUAGUUAAAAGGCCAAAGGGGGAUGAGGACAGUUAGAUGCAAAUGGGUCUACAAAAAAAAGAGGGUAUUCCAGAAGUGAAAGAUGUUAGGUUCAAGGUGAGAUUGACUACAAUGAGAUCUUCUUUCCAAUCGUGAAACAUAGCUCAAUUCGCGUGCUACUAACAUUGGUCGCACAAUUUGAUUUAGAGUUUCAACAGUUUGAUGUCAAAAGUGCUUUCUUACAUGGUGAUCUAGAAGAGACAAUCUAUAUGGAUCAGCCUUAAGGUUUCCUAGCUGAAGGAAAAGAAGACAAUGUAUGUCAACUGAACAAGUAUUUGUGUAGUUUAAAGCAAUCCCCUAAACAGUGGUACAAGAAAUUUGAUGCAUUCAUGACUACACAUGAAUUUUUGUUGAGUGCAUUUUAUAGCUAUGUGUAUCACAAGAAGAUGCUUGGUAAUUCUAUGAUAUAUCUAUUGUUGUAUGUUAAUGAUAUGGUUAUUGCUGCUAAAAACAUCACAGAGAUAAAUAUUUUAAAGAAACUGUUGAGCAAGAAAUUUGACAUGAAGGAUUUGAGAAUUUGAAAGAAAAUUCUUGGAAUGGAGAUUUCAAGAGAAAAUGGUGUUGUACAUAUUUUCAAAAGAGGUACAUCGAAAAAGUUUUUGAGAGAUUCAAUAUGCAUAUGAGCAAGCCAAUAAGUACAUCAUUAGCUCCUCAAUUCAAGCUCUCAGAGUUACAAAUGCCUCAGUCUAUGGAUGAGGUGGAACAUAUGUCAAAGGUUCCUUAUGCGAACACAGUUGGUAGCAUUAUGUAUGCUAUGGUGUGUGCACGUCCAAAUGUUGCUCAAUAUUUAAGUGUAAAAAGCAAGUAGAUGGCAAAUCCAGGAAAAAGCCACUGGAAAGCUCUCAAGUUUAUAUUGAGAUAUCUCAAAGGAGCUCCUGAUGUUGGCCUAACCUUCCAUAAAAGUGAAGGUAUUUCAAUUCUUGAUUAUGUAGAUUUUGACUAUGCAAGGGAUCUUGAUCAAAGAAGGUUCACAACUGGAUACAUUUUACUCUCUCUGGCAGUGUCGUUAGUUGGAAAUCAACUUUACAGUCUAUUAUCGUUUUGUCUUCAACAGAGGCAGAAUAUAUGGCAGCAACAGAGGCAGUGAAAGAAUCUAUCUAGUUGAAAGGUUUGGUGGCUGAAUUGAGUUCGGUUCAUCCUGGAUCAAUUCUAAAAUGUGAUAGUAAAAGUGUUAUUUAUUUGAUUAAAAAUUAAAGAUUUCAUGAGCGCACCAAACACAUUGAUGUCAGAUUUCAUUUUAUCCGAGAUGUCGUAGAAGAGGGAGCUAUCAAGGUUGAGAAGGUUAUCACAGACGAUAACGAUGCAGACAUGUUGACCAAAAUAGUCCCGCUUGACAAGUUUGCACACUGCAAGGACUUGGCGGGAGUAUGCAUCAAGUGAUGCAACUCUGGCGGAACAACUGCUAGGUGGAGCUAGUAUGUUUAACAAAGGUUUGAUUCUUCUUGUUUCUUACAACGGGAUUGCCCUGUAAGCUUAGAAUUUUUGGCCGGAGUUGUUUAUACGCAUGCUCGAAACACAAACCUAGGUGGAGAUUGAAAGAGAUGGUUUGGUUCUUGUGGAAUCAAACUAAAUGGAAGAUUAAUUAACAUGAAUAUUUGGUAGGAAGGUAAUUAGUACAAAAUAAAAGUCAAGAUAGUAUUUUGGUAGGUAAAGUUUAGGCAAACCAUAAAAUUAUUUCAUAUUCUUAACCUUAACAUUUUUGACAUAUAGUGAUGUAAUGGAUGACAUCAAUAGGAUGAAUUCAUUCCUAUAAAUAGGUAGAUCUUAAUUCACUUUCAAAAUCAUCCUCUCACUUGACUUCUCACCUUCCAAGGCAUUUGUGUUCUCUCUCUUGUAGUAUUUCACUUGAUUCGUUGUAGAGUGAAAUAAAUAUUGGUGCAAUUGUUCUUUGAUGGAGGUAGGAUCAUUUUUAUCCGAACCACGUUAAAUAUUGUUGUUCUUCCUUAUUCUUUAAUUUCACGUUUUUGCGCUAACACUAGCUAAUGCUUUCAAGAAAAUCUAUUUCAUGGUUCAAGAACGAACUUUUGGAUUUGUACUUCAAGUAUCUAGAGCGAUUAUACUAUAUAAGGUUGUUCUCUACUCUUUACGUAUCUAAUUACUUCUUGUUCAUUUUAAAAUUGAUACACCUAUUAAGAAUAUAAUGAUUUGUUGAGUUUUAGCAAAAUGUCAAUGGAAAAAGAGAAGAGAAAAAUGAAAAAGUGAUUGACUAAUAACUUUUUUGGACAAAAUUUAUUUAUUAAAUUUUGUUAAUUGAAUAAAUCCCAUUAAUUAUUUUCUCUUAUAAAUUAAUUCAGAAUGUUAGUUAAAUAACAGAAUAAUUUUAAUACGAAGAAAUUUAUUUUAAAUUCGCGUGCAAUGGUAGUACCGGUCUGAAGGGACCUGUUCUUUUUCGAUAAUUCGUUAUUUUUUCCAAAAGACAACUUUCUGGAAAAAACAGGUCUGAACAAAUUCAUUUGAACAUACACGAUUCUUGUUGAAAAUGGCUAUAAAAAGGAGAUCUUUUUCAUUUUUUCAGAUACUGAAAAUUUUUUCAUCUCUGCAUACAUUUACUCUCAAAAAAAUUGUCGAUUGACUGAGUCUGUGUGUUCUUUUUACUGUUCUUGCGUUCGCUAAAAUUAUUAAAGUUUGAGGUACCGCUACUUCUCUAACAGGUUAAUUCGUUUUAUCUUGGGAGAAAUUAAUCUGCAACCUCGGAUAAAGUGGGGGAAUUAAAUUCCUUAAGAAAAUACAGUGAUUUCUGUGGACUUGGAUUAAAAGUUUACUUUCUAUUUCAUCUUAUUUGUGUUUCUGUAUUUUUGACUAACCUUAAUACAAGAAUAACAAUCUUGAGAAAUUUAAUAGUUUCUAUAUUUGAGGUUUCUAGAGAUUAAAACCUUUAUGGUUUUAUACUCUGUUUGAAUUUUUAAAAUUCAUUUGAUUAACGAUUAAAAGAAUAUUAAAACUGUAUCACUUAAAUUAAAAACAGUCUGAGUAAGGAUUUAUUCUUUACUAUUAGUAUUUCACAUACUAAAAUUGUCUACCAUUUUUGACAGAAAAAAUGACCAAUUCAAUUCAAGUAAAUGCUGAAAUAGUGAGUGUUGCAGCAAUAUCGAUUGGACACAAUCGUUCAACUGCUACACUAGCACCGCCUAAGGAACCUGCAAAGUUUUCUAGAAUCGACUUCAAGAGAUGGCGAAAGAAGAUGUCCUUCAAUCUCACUAGGUUGAGGCGACUUCGACAAGCAUCACUAAAUUCUUUUGGGAUGGUUUUGAUUAUGGAGUAUGUUGGAGUGACUCAAAAAAAUUAUUAUUAGAGUUUGAAAAUAAAUUUUCAUGUAUCUUUUUAUUUGAUUUUUUUAUUUAGUUCUUGAAAUGAAAAGUUUCUGAUUAUCAUGUAGUUUGCAAUAAGUUUUGAAUGUGUGGAAAGUAGAUUAAUCAUAAAUAAAAUCUAAAGAAAUAAGAAAGUUAUUGAAACUAACAACUUGAUUCUUUUCUAAGGAUUUCUCCAUGGUUUGAGGGCGGUUGGUAAUGUAUUUAUGAACAUAAGCGAUCACAUUUCGAUUUCUUUAUGAAUAUCUCAUAAAUUUAUGAAAUUUUAGAAAUUUUAAUCUUUAUGAAUAUGACUUUUGGAGAUUUUUAUCUUUAUAAAUAUUCAAAUAAUAGUAUUUUAUGUCUUCGUGAUCUCAUUGUGAUUAUCCAAGAAUUUAUAGGAUAUUUAGGACGCCUCUUCAAGGAAUAAAUUACCCUUUAUAUAGGCAAAAAAUUACCCUUUGAUAGGCAAGACAAUAUUUUGAUGUUUUCUUAAUCUUUUUAUGAAUAUCCAAAAUUUUAUAAGAUAUUCGGAAUGCCUCUUUAAGAGAUAUAUUCCCUUUUAUAACGGCAUGAGCUAGAGUUUACAGUAACCUACAAGAACCUUAACAGAAAUAGUACUCGUCUUGUGGAGUCCUAUGCCAAGUAAUUAAAGAACACGUCUAAGGAAUAAGGAUCCAAUUUCGGUGGUUCUCGUUUAGAAUAUCAUUAAUUAAUUAAAGUGUGUUAUAUCUAAUAACUUAAUUUUUAAAAUGAGAUGAUCACACAUUUCAACAUGAUAUUAGAGCAGAUAAAAAUCACUCUUAUACCUCCAAAAAUUAAGGCAAGUUUGUCCCAUAUAUUUCUAAGAAUUUUAAUUAAUUGUGAAUAAUUAAUUACACACUACAAUCCUAGUUAAUGCUUUUAAGAAAAUAUAUCCCAUGGUUCAAGAAAGAACUUAAUUUUAGAGUUGUACUUCAAGUAUCUAGAGCGAUUAUAAUAUAUAGCUAGUGUUUGAUUACAUAUUUUAAAAUAUUCUUGAUAAAUAUUAUUUGGUUAAAAAUUUAAGUAAAAUUUUAUCAUGUGUUUGAUCAUAGAAUUUGAGAAAUAUAUUUCACUUUUUUAAAAAAAUAUGAUUUAUCUCCAUAAGUUGUAAAAAAAAUAUCAAAACUAACCAUAAGUUUGUAUUACAAGUCAAUUAGAUCUUCGUUGCAACACAUGACUAGUAGUGUCCAUGACACUAGAACAAUGUGGUAGUUUGAACUGAGUGCAACAACAUCAUUUUAUACAUCGUGAAGUAGAUAAAGCACAAGACUUUGUUACCCUGAAUCCAUUCUUCAUAAUUUUUAUCAACAAUCAUAUCAUCACUUUCAUAUUCACUGAAUAUCUCAUCACUACUUUGGUGUUCACGUAAAAAAUUAUAUAAUACAACACAAGCAACUAUAGAGAGUGUUUUUGUAAAAGACAAAAGUUUGGUGUAAAAUUUCAAUUUUCAAAAGAUCCAAAACAAUGAGAUUUGAUCCAGAUACUAGGAAAAACUAGCAUUUGGAAAUGUGGAAUAUUUGUCAAAUAAUAGCAAAUUAUAUGGGCAAACACUAUUUAUCAAUUUUUUUUUCCAAAUAUUAUUUGAAAAAUUUAUGGCCAAAUGUGCCGAUAAGUUAGUUAUCUACUCCUUCUAUACCUAAUUACUUGUCCAUUUUUAAAUUGACACACCUAUUAAGAAAACAAUUAUUGACAUAGUGAAUUUACCAUUUUACCCUAUUAUUUAUGAAGCAAAUGAAUUAAAAAUUUAAGAUUUUCAAGAAGUUCUACUUUUUCAAAAUAAUGAAUUGAAGGUAUAAUAGGUAAAAAAAAAAAUUGUACUUUCUAGAUUUUUUAAAAUAGACAAGUAAUUAAGGAUAACUAAAAAAGAAAAAUGGACAAGUAAUUAGUGACAUACCCGUAGGGGUGUACAUGAUCGGGUUGGUUCGAAUUUUUCAAAUAUCAAAUCAAACCAUUCGUAUAAAAUUUUUAAAUUUAUAAACUAAAGUAAUAAAAUUUGGAUUAUUCAACCUCGGAUUGGUUCGAGUUUUUCAAAUAUCAAACCAAUUAUUGCGUCAAUUUUUGAAUUUAUAAAUCAAACCAAACUAAUAAACUUCGAUUUUUUCCAGAUUUUAGGAUUUUCGAUAAAAUUUACAUACAAACAUAUAAUUAACUUGUGCUUCAAAUGUUUCAUUAGUCCAACCAAAAUACAAUUAUCUAAGGUGUUUCUUAAAAAAUUAACACAAAAUAUGAGAUGAAUAUUGAUGACACAAAAAUAUUCAAUAAAAAAUAAUAAUUAAAUCAUCAUAUAGAAUCAAUAUUGUAAAGUCAUGAUAAAAAUAAUCAUAAUUUAAAAGUACUAAAUCAUGCUAAAAUAUGUUCAAUAAGUAUUAGUUACAUUACUAAAUAUUUAAGGAAAAUUAAAAUUAGAUUAUGUAUUUUAAUUGUCUAAACCGAUGUAAAAUUAAAGAAAAAAUAUUCAAUAUUAUUGUCAUUCUUAGUGUUGAAUUGAUUUUAUUUGUGCAUUAGUAUUGAUUUGAUUUUGAUUUAAGUUUUGUUAUAAUUAUCAACAUUUAUGAACAAUAAUCUUUGUUGGACCAUUCCGAAUUCUAAGUUUUAAACUUGAAAUAAUAUAUUAAAAGAUAAAAACUAUGAAAUAGUAUAAGAAAUAUUUUAAAAUGAUAUCAAAGUAAUAUUUUUAUAUAUAAAAUAAAAUUUUAAAAUUACAUAUCUAAUGUCGGGUUGGUUUGGUCUCGGGCUGAAUUAUUUUAGUUAAAUCAAAUCAACCCAAAUAUAGUCAGUUUUUUUUAAAUAUCAAACCAAGUCAAACCAAAUCACUAGUCAGAUUUUUUCCCCAAUUUAAUUCUACUUGUAUAAUUUGGUUCGAUUUUCGAUUUAAUUUUAUACACCCUAGAUAUUGAAAGCAUGUUUGAGUUUUCCUCCGUGAAUGGUUGGAGCUAAUUAUGAUGAAAAUUCUUGUUUUUAUUGUUUUCUUAUUAACUUCAAGAAUUCUCAAUGAUGUUAUUAAUUCUCUGUGGUAUAUCCACCUCCAUGAAUUUUAUUAAGAAAAUUGAUAUGAAUUUGUAUUAUUCUUGAAAAUGGAGACAAGAGAAUCAUAUUUUUUACUCAAUGGUAUGCGUAAUCCUUCGAAAUCGCAUGUGACAAUUAUUUAAUUUCUACGUAAUCUAAAUCCCAAACAAAUUUAUCAUUGAGUUUUCAAAUUCUUGAGGUUCUUAAUGGUUUAGCUCGAAAUCGAACAUCUUGCCCAGCCUCUGAACUAUCCGUAUUCAGUAGGGACAAUAAUGGAGCGAUGUGGGUCGAGGCGGGUUUAGUUUAACCCACAAAAUAAUUACUUCACUCUGCCUUAUCCCGCCCUGCCUCGCAUAACAAUAUUUUUAUUUUUAACCCGUCCACAUGAACUCGCCCCGUAAUUUUCUUAAGAUUUUAUUUUUUUGUUUAAAUUUGAUAUUAAAAAUAAAAUUUAUAAAAAUACAUUCACUUUCAUUAAAAUAUAUUAAUUUUAUAGAUAAUGACUUAGAUAUUUAUUUUUUAAAGGUCAAUUGGGUGUGAGAAAUUGUAUUAUUUUUUAUUGAACCAUUUUCAUUUAUUAUCUUAAAUAUUUUAGUAGCUUCAAAGAAAUCAUCUUAAUAAAUAAUGUUCUACCUCUCUUAUAACACGUAAAAAAAUUAAAGUUAAAUUUAACUCCAUAUAAAAUCACAUAUACCGGCAAUCCGCUCCACCCUAUAUUAAUUUUUUUUAAAAAACACACUUCAAUAUAUCUCUCCCGUCCCGCACAACCUUAAACUCGCUUGCAUAAUCUUAAACUCACCCCGCCCUAUUAUUAUACCCAGCGUUCACAACAUAAUAGUUAUUGAUGUAAUUACAAUUAUAUAACAAAAAUAAAUGAUGCUAUAACUCUCCUUCACACCCCAUUUCUUUUCUCAUUAUUUGGAUAAAUUAGUCAUCUAUAAUAUCUUUGAAUUUUUAGGUUACCGGCUACACUAUUCAUUACAACACUAACAUAUUAGUUAAAUCCUAGCUAGAUUUGGGAGAUAUGAUGUGGCAGGCUUUUAAAAUCAAGAAUGAUAUUUGAUUUUUUGAAAAAAAAAAUUUGAUAUAAAUUUAUUGUUUUAUGUGGAUGAUCCAUUAGAGUUAUCCAACAAUUAAUUGGAUUUAUGUAUAAGUGUUUUCAAGGUGAUAAGCUUCUCAGGCCAUAAGAAGCUUAAGAGAUAACUAUGUAUCUAUUAAUGAGGUGACCUUUGGGAGUGAUAUCUCAACACUAUAAAUAGAGAUAUGACUCACCAUUUGAUAAAAUACUUGAAUAAGAAGAAAAAUUUUCUCUUCCAUCUUACUUCUCUUGUCUUCUUCUCUUUCUAUUAUAUUAUGAGUUUGUGAUAAGUUUGAAUCAGCCCAAUUGCUCCAUUCCCUAAAUCGAAUGUGAUAGCAGUAUGUGAUAAGUUUGAAUCAGCCCAAUUUCUCCAUUCUAUCAUAUGGAUGUGGUAGCAGUGAAUAAUAAGUUUGAAAGACAACAUGUGAUUAAAUGUAUGAAUAGGGGCGUGAAGGGACAAAUCAUAAUAGUCAUCAUUGUGGUAAUUAUAAAAAGAAAGAAUAAUAUGAGUUCUUCAAAUAGUCCUUCAAACUAUGAAAAUUAAUUUUAUCACCAAAACGGUAUGAAAGGUCAUUGGAUACGCGGUUAUCAUGCGACCUUAUUUUUAUAAGUUUUAUAAAUCCUCCAUCAAAAUAAAAGAAUAUAAAGUGAUAGUGCAUUUUAUCUUUCAAAGUGAUUUUGAGGUUAAUCAUGUAAAUAUGUCAAAUAUAAAGGUAUGACAUGUAUAAAUUGUUAUAUUCAACUCAUGAAGAGAUUGUGACUUUAAUAAGCAUGUGAAUGUUUGUCUAUUCUUGAAAGUGAAUAUGGAAAAAUAUGAAGGAAAAAUAUGACUAAGAAUAUAUUCAUGUAUGGUUGGAUAUAUAUCAGACUCACAUCUACGGGAGGUUUGGGAGAAAUAAAUAAGUUUUAUUUGACACGAACGGUCAAUGGUCGUGUGCGUUUAUACGUCGUAAAUAUUAUGGUAUAUUUUUUAUGAACUAUUGAAAAGGAAAAAAGAAAGAAGUAAUUCUUGCCUAUAAAAAUUGUGGUCAUGAUCAAAUAUACUGUGGCAAUACAAAUUUGUCAUUGGUUGUGUGCCUAUGGUAAAACAAAAGUAAAACUAGAAACAUGUUUUGCUCGUAAUAAUUUUAACCAUGAGAAUAAUGAUAUAAUUUCCUUGAGGGGAUGUUCACUAUAUGGAUGGUGUUAUGGAAUAUGUGAUAGUACACAAAAUUAAUUGCAAGCUCUAACGAGUUGUUUUAUUGUCAGAGGAAUAAUAUUGAGGUUGUAGUAAGUUUCAAAAGAAACUUUUUAAGUUUUAGAUGAAUUGAAAAGAAAUACUGAGACUGUAAAUUAUGAAAAGAUUUAUUAUCUUUAGAUUACUACAACCGAAGCGGGUUAUAAAUAUUAUGUAAUAGGUUACCCAUUGUUCCUCUUGUUUGUUGUAUACAAACAUGGACAUGCUGAUGAAUUCACAUGCAAAAGUAAAUAAGUGUACUGAAAUAAAGAUCAGUUGGAAUGACCGGUUGACCAUUCUGGUUUAAAUGUGAUGCAAAUGUAAUUGAGAAUUCAUGUGGAUUAUAUGAUGAAGAAAUAAAAGAUUCCUCAAGAAUUCUCUUGUGUUGCUUGUUUUCAUUGUACCAGCUAAGGUUCAGAUUAUAAUCCCUAAAUCUUUGGAACAUAUAAAAAGGUGAUGAGCCUGUCUCCUUCAAUGUAGAUCAUUUGCAACCAUAUGAUCGAUGCAUCUAUGUGAUGGUCACAUGUGCUUUGUUGUACAUGUGCUUUGUUGUCAACUUACAAAUUGGUGUUUGUAAUGUUGUUUGCUCUAAUUGUUAAAUUAAGAGCACAGUUCCAAAUUAUGAAAUUAUAUUGGUAAUGCUGGUUGAUUAAGCAGAAAUUGUAUGCCUUCAAUUAUAGAUAAAUCAUGGUUAUGAGAAUAAAACUCCCCAAUAAAAUUUGGUAUGAGAUAAUUUUAUUUAACAUGUAGCAACACAUAUAUGCAUCAAGCCAACAAGGUUUUCCCAUUAAAAUUGGUUCAGGUCAGAGACCAAAUAAUUUUCAUAUAAAAUAUUACAUGUGCGGUUAUGAUUUUAAUUGUUUCACCAUGCACAAGGAUGAAUUCUCAAAUAAGGUUGGGAUGAAUAUUAGAUUUCCUAACAUUAAGUGGAGAGAUGAUUGACAGCUGAAAAUUAUUUAUGAGGUUAAUUAUGAAUUAUCUGGAUCUUCAUUAAAUAAAUAUGUGAACUUAAAGUUCAAAUGAUAAUUCAUUUGCAUAGCAAAUCAAUUGUCAGAUGAAUGUAGUCACCCUAUGAUAUAAUUCAGCUGCAAAUGCUCCAAUGUGAAGUCCUUGAAGGACGGAGUCUAUGAUACGCCGAAAGCGUAAUAGACCAAUCGAUUCCAAAUAUAAAAUUUCUUGAAGAAAGAGAGGAGCAAAUGAUCAAUAUGAUCAUGAUAAUUAGGCAAGUGCUCUAAGAGAGCACCACGACAUAACACUUCAUAAAACUUUGGAAAAGAUUCAGGUACCUGAAAAAUGAUUAAAAAAUGAAGAGAUAUCGAUAAUUUAUGUUAUAUUGAAAUCAAUAUCAAUUAACACCAUCGAAGAUAUUUUUGAUAUGAGGUAGCGCUCAAUGAUAUAAAUUGUAACGAGGAUCUUGAAUUCAAAUCUGUCAUAAAGUGUAGACAAAUAAAUGGUUGGCCAAGUAAAAUGCAUAAUUCAAGUAUAUUGUUUUACUAAGAAAAGUGAGUUUUGGACUGAUAGUCCAUAAAUUAAGGUAUAAUAUCAAUGGGGUACAAUAAAUUAUUAUGUCAUGGUAUAAUUGUAAUAUCAAGUAGAACUUGUGCCUUGGGGCAUAAAAGUUUGUCGCGAAAUUCCUGACAUUAUUGGAGAUGUUUUCUCCAAUGGUGUAUGCAAUGAGGUUUGUUUUGAUCUGGCAAUAUAUGAAACACGUGAAUGCAAAUAAUGAAUAAUUAUCAUGCCUAGCUAGACAAUAAUGAAGGUUAUAUAAAGAUUCUUGAAGUAAUCGAGGUGUUUGAAGCAUAUAAAAGUUUAAAGGAAACUUUUUCUAUAAAACUUCAAGAAUCCUUAUAUGGAUUGAAAUAAUCAAGGAAGAAAAGAGUACAAAAAGAAUGACCAUAAUUGUCCUUGAAUUUUAUGAAAAGUUCAGGAUCUGAAUUUGUUAUAAAUUAUGUAUGUAGAUGAAUUGAAAUUACUAACACUCUUAAGGAGCUUUUAAAAGCUAUUGAGUAUUUUGAGAAGGGAAUAUAAAAUGUAAAGAUUCUGGAAAGACAAAAUUUUAUCUUGACCUAAGAUUGAAACUUUGACGAAUGAAAUAUUUGUCCAUCAAUCAAAUACAUAGAAAAGCUUUGAUGCAACUUUAUAUGAUAAAUCACAUUCAUUACCCCAAUGAUUAUGAGAUCGAUUGAAAUAAAUGAUGAUUCAUUUUUUAUCUUAAGAGAAGAAUGAAGAGCUUCUUGGUGAUGAAACUCCAUAUCUUAGUGCAAUCAUGAUACUAAAGCAUCUUGCUAACAAUACUCGACCAGAUAUCUGUUUGGCAGUAAAUUUACAGGCAAAACUCGGUUCCUUCCCAACAAAAGGACAUUGAAAUGGUGUAUGUAUGUACUUGAAUAUCUUUCCGAAGAAUUCAAGUCAAAGCUGAUUGGUUACGCAAAUGCAGAAUAUUUAUCUGAUCCGCAUAAAGCAUGAUCUCAAGCACUCUAUUUGUUUGCAUAUGGAGGCACAUUAAAAAAUAUCCUUGCGAUCAAUGAAGCAAAUGUUGCUAUGCAGAAAUAAAAUCCCUCCAUGAAGCAAGUCGAAAGUGCGUCUGGUUGAGAUAAAUGACACCAUAUUCAGGAAAUGUGUGGUUUUUCCUUGAAAAAGAAUAUAUCAACCACAAUGUACGAAGAUUGGAGACAUCAUCACAAGAAAUUAAGUGAUGUUUUAAUCAAGGAGAAUAUAAUACGCGUUGCACUGUUUUUUCCUUGACCGAGGUUUUGUCGCACUGAAUUUUACUGGCAAGGUUUUAAUGAGGCAACAAAUAAUGCAUAUCAAAAGAUAUGUGUACUCUUUUCCUUCAUUAGAAUUUUUUUUCCACUAGGUUUUUUUCUAGUAAGGUUUUAACGAGGCACAUUAUCUAUAGACAUCCAAGGGAGAGUGUUAUAAAUCUAUUGUUUUAUUUGGAUGAUACAUAAGAGUUAUCCAACAAUUAAUUGGAUCAUGUAUAAGUGUUUCCAAGGUGAUAAAAACCUUAAGAGAUAACUAUGUAUCUAUUAAUGUGGUGACCUUUGAGAGUGAUAUCUCAACACUAUAAGUAGAUAUAUCACUCACCAUUUGAUAAUAUACUUGAAUAAGAAGAAAAGUUCUCUCUUCCAUCUUACUUCUCCUAUCUUCUUCUCUUUCUAUUAUAUUAUGAGCUUGAUUUUAUAACAUUUUUGACAUUUCUCUUAAUCAUUUUUAUUUAUAUGAUACGAUAAAAAGCCUAUAAAAUGUUUCUUAAUUAUUAUAUCUUUUUUUCGAUAUACAAAGCUUAAAAGAUAUUUUACUAAUUAGUAAUUUAAUCAUAUUUAUUAUGCAAUAUAAUAAUAUAAUUCUAUACAGCUAAUAUAUAGCCUAGAGACAUUAGGACUAAUUUUGGCGAACAUUUUUCUUCUUCUGACUUUUUAAUCCUUACAUGUACCUUUCCCCUAUAUAAGUCAUUGACAGAUUAUUUUAAUUUUUUUUAAAAAAAAUUCAGUUAAUCAAUCGUUAUAUUUAAGACUCAUAAAUAGUGAUUUAAAUUUGCAGGUUCUCAUCCUAAUAAAGUUUUGGAGUGGGUAUAUGGUGUUUUGAUUCGAUUUUUAAAUUUCAAUUUGAAUUUUUUUUUCAUAGUGUGUAUCAAAUAUAAUAUCAAAUUAAUUUGAUUUGUUCGAUUUGAUUGAGUUCAAUUUUUGUAAUUCAGCCUAAGUGUCAAACAAUUAAUAUCAGUAACAACAUCAUAAAAGUUAAAUUGUACUUAAUAGAUUGUAUGAUAGAGCAUAUUUAAGAAAAAUGCAUGUAUAUUAGCAAAAAAGUUAAAGAAGUAAUUUGAUCUUAAAUCAUUAUGCAAUAAAAUAACAUAAAAUCUGUAUUAUCUAAAUAUAGCUUAAGACAUUAGGAGUUUAAGACGUCUCUUCGGCCAACAUUUGUUCCUUCAUCUGUUUUUUUCUUAAAAAAUAAAAUACAUUCAGUAUACUUAAGACUCAUAACUGAAGAUUUAGAUUUGCAGUUCUUUCAUCCUAAUGAAGUGAAUGUAGCCAUUUAUUUUAUACUCUGUAUUUCCAAUAAUAGUUAUUCAUUAUUGAUUUGACACAUAUUUUAAAAAUAUUUAAUAAAUAAUAUGACUAAGUUAUCCUUUAAAUACAUUAAAUUUAGUACUUUGAAAAAUAUAUUUAAUAUUAAAGUACAAUAUUUAAUAUAAAAAUAAUUAUCUCUUGAAUUUUUAAAUUUAUGAAUAAUUGAAGAAGAAAUGAUUAUGCAUUGUAGUACUUUUUAUAUGACGUACUAUGUUAUAUUGCUUAGAACGAAAGAUUGAAGAAGUUUACUUUUUAAUUAUAAAUUAUCCAUAUAUUAUUUAAUUAUUUUGACUUGUUAAUUAUUAUGCAUUGUAGUACUUUUUAUAUAGUUUACAAGUAUAUAUAAAUUUAAUUUUUAAAAAGAAUUAAAGAUUUCAUGCACAAAUUUUCAAUCAAAACGCAUAUUAGUUGACUCUCGAAAACAAAAUGUAUCACAUAAAUUUGAUACUCAAAAAAUAGUUUGUUUGUAAUGUUUAGUUUAAUAUGUUAUGAUUGAUCUUUCUCGUUGCUUUUUUUCAAUUGUAAAAUUCUAAAUUUUUAGUAAUAUAAUUUUUUAGAAGUGAGAGGAUUCAAUUUUUUUUUUUUUUAGAAGUGAGAGGAUUCAAUUUUUUCUUCUCUUUACGCAUCACAAUUCUUUUCCAAAGCAAUCAAAUUAGUCUAGAAAAAAUCUGUAAUGAAAAAUAGUAGCCAAAAUAAAUAAAAAUCAAAAGCACGUACGAGUUUAUUUUUUUUUACUAAAGUCAAGUACGAAAAGUUUUAAAUAUAUUUAAGAAAGAUAUUAUGUACAACUAAAAUUGUUGGAUUAAAAAAGUAUUUUAUGAAGUAAUAAUAAAAGUAAUUAAUUAUCUUAAUUAUAGUUAAAACUUAUCUUUAUUUUUUAAAUUUCAAUAAUUAAUUCAACUAUGACAUCUCUCUCAUCCAAAAUACUAAAUUGAAAAAACGAUAAUGCUAAAUGGGCAGUAUUUGGGCAGAAAAUUAAAAAUCUAUGAUAUUUUUUUUAAUUUUAAAAUAAAGGGAAAAGAAUCUGAUAUACCCCUCAAUUUUGUCAUUUGGAGUUGAUAUACCCCUCAUUAUAAAAGUGGCUCAUAUAUGCCCUUAUCGUUAUACAAACGGCUCACAUAUACCCCUGCCGUUACAAAAUGGCUCACAUAUACCCUUCAUUUAACGGAUGUUAAAAAAUUAGUUUUAAAUUUAUAUUUAUUACUUCUAAUUUUUUUUAAAAAAUUAUUUAGGGGUAUAUAUGGUUCUUCUAUCAAAGUUCAAGGUAUAUUUUUUUUUUUUCACACAUAAAUUAUUUUUUGACUUCUUUUAUUAUAAUUAUUUGAAUUUCUUAUUCUUAUUUUGUUUUUCUUUCAUUCCUUAGUUUAAAGAAUAAAAAAUUAAACUAUUUUUUUUGUAUGUAUUGUAUUUUAAUUUCGUAUUCGAAGAAAAAAUAUGGUCAUCUAUAAUAAGUUUUACAAGAAUAUUAGUAAAACAUAAAUAAUUUGAUUAUCAAAAUAAUAAUUACAAAUUAGUCAUUGAAAUAAAAAAAAGUCAAAAAAUAUGUUUGACAAGGAUUAAAUUUACUCAUAUGGGAUUAUAUAUUUUAGAAAAAAAUAAUAAAAAUUUAGAUUAAAUUUUUUUUUUUUCAUUUCCGUUAGAGGAAAAGGGUAUAUGUGAGUCAUUUGUUUACAAGUAGGGGUAUAUAUGAGUCAUUUUCAUAACAAGGGGUAUAUCAGCUCUAAAUGACAAAGUUGAGGGGUAUAUCAGACCCUUUUCCCUAAAAUAAAUUAAUCUUUUUUUUAUUUAUAGUUAAAAUAUAUUAAAAUUAAAAUGGUAAAAAUAUUUAAAAUGUAAAAUAAUAUAUGUAAAAUGCUACUUUAGCCAAAUUGUGGCCAUAUAUUCUUGCCAAAAAAGGAUUUUUCCUCGUACUAUUAUUGGAUUAUAACAUCAAAUUAUUAAAACAAUUAGUAAAUGGAGUGUAACCGGAAUAUUGAAUAAGCACCCCGGGCAAUUAUAAUUAAGUAAUAAAUCUUUUUAGGAUGAGUGACAACACAAUUUUUUUCAAAUAUACAAAUUAUUACAAUUAAUAAGUGAAGAAAAUUCUUACUACUAAAGUAUAUGAUAAUGUUUUAGACUUCUUGACACUUUCUUUAUGACCUUCAUAAAUAAGAAAUUUAUUUAUUUAAAAAAUUUCUUAAGUUGAUAAAUUUGAAGAAAAAUGUUGAGGGUAGAAAAUCUAACAAUUUUUUACCUCAUCUAAUAUAUGGAUUGUCGUAAUAAUUGAAAAAUGAAAUAGUAUUUAGUUAAUAUAGCAUCAUUUUUUAUGUGAUUAUUUAUUUUAUUGCUUCUUUUAUAUUUUAACAAUUAUCAUGAACCAACAUUAUUGUUCUUAUAUUUACAUUUUUUACUCUCCUUUCGACGUCUUUUUUUCUUCUCAUUACAAAAUAUUUGAAAUUUCUCAAACGAAUAAACCUUCUAUAUUGUGCAAAAUAUAUUGUAAAAAGAUCAAAUUUAGUUUUGACAUCUUCUUCACAUUUCAAGCAUUAAAACCAAUUAACACUGUUUUAUUAUUAUUAUUAUAUUAAUUUAAAUUUUCUGAGUUUAAUUUUAUUAUUCUAACAUUAUUUUAUAUACUUUUCAUUGAAAAAUUGCAUUGUUUAUAUUCUUACUUCAUAAUGUACGUAUAUAACAUUCUUUGCAGACUUCAUUUAUGAAAUUACACUAUAGAAUAAUAAUUUGAUUUAUAUGUACUUCCUUCCUUUCAAAUUGAUUAAAUUGUUAAGGUGUUUCACACAUUUAAAAUAAAUUAAGUCACAUAUUAAGCAUAACUUUAAAUUUUUACAAAAAUAAGAGCUCUCUAUAAAGUUUGACUUUAAGUCUCCAAAUUUGUUAAUACAGACCUGAAAGAGUGUAGGAGCUAACAAAACAAAUAGUUAUAAAAGUAAUUUAUUCAAUUUAUAGAAUUAAAGCUAUAUGUGCAUACACCAAAAUUUUACAUCCUUUAUCAUAGCAAAAUUUAUAGAAAAUAAAAAUAAAUUUAGUAACUAAUGUUUUUUUUUUCAAACACUGUAAAACACGAAAAAAAUUGCUAAUGUGUAAGAAAACAUGUGUAAUAUAAAACAAAUAUAAAAGAGUCCACGUGCAUCGCAUGAGUACCUAUAUUAAUUUUAGCUUGAAAAUAAAAAUUAAUAUUUUUUUAUUUCAAACACUACCAAUUAUUAUAAAACUAUUUAACUUAAUUGGAUGCACCAACUUUGACAGGUGUUAAUUCACUUCAAUAUUCAACCAAAAAAAAAAGAAGGUUAAAACGCAAAGCAACUUAAUUCAUUUGUUAUAAAUUGGAGGAGCCAAAGAUAGUGAGAUUCACAAAACUUUAUAUCUCUAAGAAUGGAAAUUCAAAAGGUAUCAUAGUUUCUAAUAUUUUUUUUAAUUAUAUAUGUCUAUCUUAAGUUUCAUUCAUAUACUCAUGAUUAAUUUAUUGAUCAUUUUAAACAAUGAAACAUAUCUUAGAUUUAAUUUUAUUUAUUUAUUUUUAUAACAUAGGAGUUUGAUUUAACGAUAGUUCCAACAGAAGGUGAAAUUGAUGCACCAUCAUCGCCAAGGAAGAAUUUAUGUCUCAGUGUGAUGGAAUCUGAUAUUAAAAAUGAAACGUCUUUUCAAGAACUCGACAUGAUUUUGACUCAAUAUUUAGAGACAUUGUCCGAGCGAAAAAAGUAUCAUAUAGGUAAGGAUAUACAUAUGUAUAGUCUUUCCAUACAAACAUAGUUACUUUUUACUCAACGAAAUUAUACAAGCAUUAGUGAUCGAGGUAAUUUAAUCUCAAUUUUAUUUAAAUAAAUACAUUUUCAUUUAUUUUUACGUGUGUAAUAAACAUAAAAGUAUUUAUAAGAAAAAUUAAUCAAAAGUUAUUCAUUAAUAAAUCAUCCCUAACUUUAUUUUACAUAUCUUUUAAGUAUUUUUGAUUUGGCCAAAUAAUAUUUUACGAUUUUAUUCAUAAUUAUAUCUUUGGUUAUUUAAUUUACAGGUUAUCCAAUUAACAUGUGUUACGAACAUCAUGCCACUUUAGCCCCACUUUUGCAAUUUCAUUUGAACAAUUGUGGAGAUCCCUUUACUCAGCACCCUACAGAUUUCCAUUCAAAAGAUUUUGAAGUGGCUGUUUUAGAUUGGUUUGCACAACUCUGGGAAAUAGAGAAAGAUGAAUAUUGGGGAUACAUUACUAGUGGUGGCACUGAGGGCAAUCUCCAUGGCCUUUUGGUUGGGCAGGUAUCAUUUUCAAGAAAGGGGGUGGGGGGGAGAGGUGGUAGUUUUUGAAUCAUAUGAAAAAUCAAAAAAUUAAAUGGCGUAAUCAGCCAUUGUCAUGGUCAAAAUCAUUACGAGCAAGACGUCUUACUUUACUUUUGUUGUACCAUAGGUACACAAUCAAUGACAAAUUUGUAUUGCCACACAAUAAUGACCACAAUCCUUCUAUGCAAGAGCUAUUUCUUUCUUUUUCCCUUUCGGUAGUUCACAAUAAACAUACCAUAGUGACGUAUAAACAUACAGUACGAUUAGCCAUUUUUGCCAAAUAAAAUUUAUUUUCUCUCAAACCUCCCGUAGAGGUGAGUUUUGACAUAUAUUAUUUUUUCUCAAACCUCCUAUAGAGGUGAGUUGUGACAUAUAUUCAAUCCAUAAUGAUUUUAUCAUAUCUUGACCCAUUCUCUUAUAGAAUGGUCGAGCAUUCAUAAUACUCAUCACAAGUCACAUUCUCUUCAAGGAAUUCAUAAAUUUGUAUUAUAAGUACAUUGUCAUGGUUCUAAAAUUCAUUAUAUUUCCAUGACACACCUCAACAUCACUUUGAAAGAUCAAGUGUACCAUCACUUUAUCUUCUUGUCUCAUGAUAGAGGAUUUAUAAAGUUGUCAAAUUGGGUCGACAACAUUCAGAAGUCCAAUGACCUUUCAUACCAUUUUAUAAUAAAAAUUCUCUUCACAUUUUGAAGGACUAUUUGGAGAACCCAUAGUGUUCUUCCUUUUAUAAUUAUCACAAUGAUGACUAUUAUAAUUUCGUCCCUUCACGCCCUUAUUCAUAUCAUUAAUUAUUUGUCAUCUUUCAGACGAAUUAUUUGUUGCUACUACAUUCAUAUAAUUGAAUGGAGCAAGUCAACAGAUGGAUUUCAAAGUUAUCACAUGUUGCUUCCAUAUUCUUUUCAAGGAAUGGAGCAAAUUUAAUAUGAUGAAUUUCAAUACUUUUCAUCAAAAAUAUAUUAUUUUGCCUCAGUCAUCAUCUUAUCAUCAAUUUGGUGCAUGGAGACUCAAACUCAAUGUCUUAUCCAUACAAGGCACAUUAGGCCAUAAUUCUAUGGGACUUGAACCCAAUACCUUAUCAUUAUGGUGCAUCAAAACUCGAAUUGAUGUCUUACCCUCUUGGUGCGAUAGAACUUGAAUCUACCGUCUUACCCUCAAAUAUUUUUCAUAAUGAAUGACAUAAAUGAGUCUUUUUUAAACAAAUUUGAUAACAUAUUUGAGUUUUUUUCUUAUGGUUAAAUGAUGCAAGUGCUUCAUCACUUUCAUAAAGCAUUUGAACAAUAUUAUAUAUUUGUGCAGAAGAGAGCUACUUCCUAAUGGAUAUUAUAUGCAUCAAAAGAUUCACAUUACUCGAUUUUCAAAGCAGCAAGAAUGUAUCGAAUGGAGCUACAAACUAUCAACACUUUAGUUAAUGGGGAAAUUGAUUAUGAAGAUUUACAAUCAAAGUUACUUGUCAACAAGAACAAACCAGCUAUCAUCAAUAUCAAUAUUGGUAAAAAUACAUACAUAUAUAUUCUUACAUCUUAUAACAUCACUUUUGGUAAAUUAGUAUAUAUGUGUUUAUAGGAACAACCUUCAAAGGAGCUAUUGAUGACCUCGAUUUCGUCAUACAAACACUUGAAAAUUGUGGUUAUUCAAAUGACAAUUAUUAUAUCCAUUGCGAUGCAGCAUUAUGUGGGCUAAUUCUCCCAUUUAUCAAACAUGUAAGCUUAUUUUUAUUCAAUUUUCCUUCAACGCUCGAUCGAAGUUACAAUGACAUAGUUUCUUUCUAUGGUAUUUGACAAUAGGCAAAAAAAAUUACCUUCAAGAAACCAAUUGGAAGUAUUUCAAUUUCAGGGCACAAAUUCUUGGGAUGUCCAAUGUCUUGUGGCGUUCAGAUAACAAGGAGAAGUUACGUUAGCACCCUCUCAAAAAUUGAGUAUAUUAAUUCCGCAGAUGCUACAAUUUCUGGUAGUCGAAAUGGAUUUACACCAAUAUUCUUAUGGUACUGUUUAAGCAAGAAAGGACAUGCUAGAUUGCAACAAGAUUCCAUAACAUGCAUUGAAAAUGCUCGGUAUUUGAAAGAUCGACUUCUUGAAGCAGGAAUUAGUGUUAUGCUGAAUGAUUUUAGUAUUACUGUUGUUUUUGAACGACCUUGUGACCAUAAAUUCAUUCGUCGUUGGAACUUGUGUUGCUUAAGAGGCAUGGCACAUGUUGUAAUUAUGCCAGGUAUUACAAGAGAAACUAUAGAUAGUUUCUUCAAAGAUCUAAUGCAAGAGAGGAACUAUAAGUGGUACCAAGAUGUAAAAGCUCUGCCUCCUUGCCUAGCUGAUGAUUUUGGCUCUAAAAAUUGUAUGUGCUCCAAUAAAAAGAUGCAUAACUAAAUUAUAUCAAGAGUUUUCAAAUAAAUUUUCCAUAUAUAUUUUGUUUGCUAUGUUUUUAUGUAGGAGUGACUCUAUAAAAGUGGAAUAAUAAGUUGAUUUGACUUGAAUUUCAUUUGAUUUUGUAAAAUUCUGUAGAAGGAAUAAUAAGUUUUAUUAUUAUUCAUUGUAUUAUUUAAUAAUAUGUAUUAUUACAGUUUCUAAUAAACUAAUUAUUAUUGAUUGGUAAAAAAAUAAUUCAUAAAAUUACAAUUAAAUAUAUCUUUAUGUUUUUUUAAAAAUAGAUGGUUUAAUAAAGUUGAGUUUGAGAAUUUAAAGAAAUUGAAAAGCUAACAUCCUUAAUUAUAGGAGUUAAAAACAAGAAAAAAAAAUAAUCUCACAUCUCCUUAAUUAAUGUGGCUUGGUUGCACAUGAUUAAAAGAAAAAAAUAUAAAACUUAGUUUUAUUUCUUUUAUUAGGCUAAUACAUGCAAAAAAAAAAAAAAAAUUGACUAUUAAUUGUUAAUUAUUAUUGGGUUAUAUGUUGCCAAUUUUAUAUAAUAGUUGUAUAUAUGUUGUCAAUUCCUCAUUUUCCCAAAAAUAAGUUUUAGGACUUUAUUUUUACGGGCUUAAAUUACGGCCUGUAGAUGAAUUUAUGAUCCGUAAUUGGGUCUGUUAAAAUCUGAACAAAAAAUGAGUUUAUGAAGUUGGUUUUACGAGUUAAAACUACUAGUCGUACUUCAAUUUUCGACCCAUUAUAAAUUGAACUCGUAAAAAUAAGUCUCUAAAAAACUUUGUUGGGAUAGUCUUUGGUAAAACCCAGUCAUAUCAUUUCACUUCGAACUCUGAUUGAUGAAAACUUGGUGACGUUGAAAAGAAAACUCAUAGAUUUUUAAUUUGAUAGGUUACGAGACAUCUAAUUCAUUAUAUGUAGAGAAAUAUGGUGAUUUGAAUUUGACCUUGUAUGAACUAAUGCGAAAACUUAAAUGGUAGGAAAGUUUUGAACUCGACUUCGUACUAAAAGUUUCUAUGACCCUAAUUCACUUUCAAUACGCUUCCCACAUAUAGGAAUGAGCCUUAACACAUAAGCACAACUAGAACAUCACGCAGUUCAUGCUUCUAUAUUUAUCAAUGAAGAUUUGAAUUCUAAAAAUAAAAUUGCAAAUUGUUACAUAAUUUGCAGUUUUUCAUCCUACAUAAUUAAGUCAUUGAAGUUAUUUAUUUAUUUUGAAUAAAAUUAUGCAUAGUUAGGCACCGGAGAGGAGAUGUGCAUGACUGUAAAGUCAAGAAUAACAUUUUUCUUCUUUUUUGUAAAUUUUUUGAUAAUUUACUUAAUUAUAUUUAUUUAUAUGAUAAAACAUUAGAAAUAUAUCUUAUUACAUUUACUUAAAAAUUGAUCUCCUUUUUCAAUUCAGAGAACUCAAAAGUCAUUGCCAUUAAUUAGUAAUUUAAUGGUUAUUUAAUAGGUAAUAAAAUAAUAUAAAUCUAUACAUCUAUUUUUUUCACCCAAUCUAUAUAUAUAUAUAUAUAUAUAUAUACCUCUCUUUGGUCAAUAUUUUUUUUCCUUUGACUUAUUAAUCCUUAUUAGUGUAUUUAUCGUGCUUCGCGUGAAGAAGUAUUAAAUAUAUUUUUAGUAAUUAAUGACAUUAUUUGAUGGAUAUUCUAAUAAAUAAUAUAACAAAAUAGAAAUAGAAAUUAAAUUUACGAUUAUGAUAUUACCUAUUUUUAAAAAAUGCUAUAAAAGUCUCAUUCUAUAUUUUCGAGAAAUUGAUCAAAAUAGUCCUUAAUGUAUGAACUUAGAUUGAUUUGGUCCCUCAUAUAUGUAGCUUAUGGAAAAACGUCCUUUAUCUAUGUUAAAAAGUUAUCAAUUUUGUCUUUCACCCGAAAACUCUAACUACACAAAAAAAAUUCUGGCAAAUUAUACAGAAAUGUGCAACUCACAUGACAUACAAAGAUUUAAACAAAACCUCUGUUUUCUUGUCUCAAUUCCAAAAAAUGAAACCUCUGUUUUAUUUUUAUUGUUGGCUUUUUUUGGUUUGUGUAUUCAAGAAUAUUUAGAUGUUAUGGUGUAAAAAGUAUACAUGUUUUUUAACACCUAGAAUGUGGUCUUAAUCGGCUAAAAUAUGUAAUUUUUUAACUGUCGAUUCUGCGUUCAAUGAUAUCAUAAAGGAUUGAUAUAAUAUCAACCAGCCAAACAGUAUGUUAGUAGUAUCAUUAAUUAUUUUGAUUAUAUUGAAUUGAAGAAUCUCAAUCUUACUGACUCGAAAAAGAAUUGAAUAUUAUGUGGUUACAUGAAUGAUUCAAUAAUAUUUUGACAUAAAAAAAUUCAUCCUUAAAGAUAGAGUAGUAGAGUUAUAUUUUGAGCAUUUGGACUCUUAUAUUGGAAUAGACGAUACAAUUGAGUUUGGUUGCAUUCCAGGGAAUGAAAAUCGAUGUCGUUGGACCUGUUGACAAAGAGUUUGAAAGGGAAAACUUAUCCUCGGGAGAUGAUUUUGAGGAUUAUGAAAAUGAAUUCUCCAGUGACGAGCUGAUGGUUGAUAAAAAAAAAAGGACACUAUAAACAUAGUUUUGAGGAUGACAGAGAGCUUAUUACCGAUGAAAUUUAAAAAAAGAUGUUACAUGAAAAUGGAGAUCCUUAUUGUGUUAACUCUGAAGAAAAUAAGAGUUUGGAUGGUGAUUAUGACAAUGAAAGUUUUGAUUUUCCGAAGCACAAUGCAAAUGUUAUGCCUCGUAUUUUUUUAUACGUAGUGCGCAUCGUGAUCUAGAAGACGUAAAGAAAUAUUAGACAAGGAUGUUAUUUCCAAAUGUGAUAUUAAGUAUGAGUUGGCUAAUGUAAGUGCCAUUAACUUUAAGUGAGGGAUUAAUUAGUGGCUAAUUUGGAUUGAUUUAAUCCAAUGGGCCCCACCACUCAUAAUUGGUGGCUGAUUAGGAUUAAUUUAAUCCAGUGGGCCCCACCACUCAAGGCAAAAAUUAAAAAGGGAUUAGAUUGUGGGUCGGCCUUAGUGGACAGGUGUAGAAGGGGGCUGCCUCCACUUCAUACUAUUAAAUGAGGUGGAGAAAUCCACUCCAUGCUAAAUAAAGUGGUGAAAUGCAUUGCUGCAUAUCAUCUUCUUCUUCACCAAUUGUCUUAGGCAGCCAUGGAAAUGGAGAAACCAACCCUGCAACUCUUGGCCAGCAGUUGCAAAUAAUUUGGUUAGUAAUUUCCUUGUUUGGUGUGUUAAUUCUUUAGAAUACCCUUGUUAAUUAUCCAUUAAUUUUAAGAAGGGGGCGUGACCAGUAGCUUAGGAAGUUUAUUUUAGUUAUUGAAUGUGCUAAGUAUGAACGGAAACCAUAAUCGGAUUAUUAGUGGUGUCGUGUUGGUGCUUAGGCUGUUUUGAUUAAAGCAAACUGCGGGAAAAUUCUGUUUUGGCAUUAUGUAUAUGUUAAAUGUGAUUAUGAGUAUAUAAUCCAAAGGAUGAAUACAAUAAGGUAGAUGUGUUGCGAAUUAUAAAACGAGUUAUCGCUCGGUGUGUCGUUGCUUCGCUGCUAUGGUUGCCGAGACGGAACUAUUUUGGGGAGGGAGCUGUUUAAUAUGAUUUGUUGGGUUAUAUGUGUUAUUGGUAUUGCUGUAGAUAAUUUGGGUUGUUGUCGGAUUGGGACGAAGUAAGGAAAAUAGGGGAAGUGCUGCCGAAUUUUCGUUAGAUUAUUAGCUAGCUUACAAGAAAGUAAAGCGCGAUGUUUAUCUAAUUGCGGCACGAUUGUUGCUUGUUAUAGAUUAAUAGCUUGAGCAGUAAAUAUUGGACGUGCGGCUCGAUUAUAUGGUAUGUAACGAUGUCCCUUCUUUCUUUGUUUGACAUGACUUUUAGAAAUAAGCGAAUAACGGACAUGUUUGAUACUUACCUCUAGAGCGUCUAGGUGACGUAUAUUCUUGCUUCCACAAUUAUUCCUCUAUAUAUCGGCUAUGUCUAAGGCUAUGAUGAUCACUAAUAUCUAUGAUAGUGCUUCUUAUAGUCAUUGAGAUUUUACGUUUCCAUAUCGUAUUAAAGGUUCAUAAUCUUGAUAAAACAUUAAUCUUUGGUAAUACUCCUUGAUGGUUCACGUUGAUUGUUCUAUUGAGUUAUAAGAAAUGAUUUUAAUUGCAUAUGGUUGCUCAUAAUAUUCUGCUCGUGCAUAGAGUCAUUUAUCAUUUCACCGAGUCCCGGGCCGGGUAAUGUUAGUGCGGAGUUUCUUGCAUAUGUCACCGAGUUCCUCACUAGAGGGCCGGGUAUGUAUAUUAUAUAUAGGAUUGGUGAUGAGGAUGGUUAUGAUGAUGAUGAUGACGGAGAUGGCGUGAUGAUUAUUUUGCGGAGCCCCUUACUAGGGAAGCUGGCACCUUAUAUGUUAAAUAUAUGCAUGAUUUUCACUUAAAAGGGUAUAUGUGUAGCGAUAUUUUGUUUCGACUUGCCAUAUUGGUAUCCUGUCAUCUUUACCUUAUGCUUUACAUACUCAGUAUAUUAUCCGUACUGACCCCCCUUUCCUCGGGGGGCUGCGUUUCAUGCCCGCAGGUGUAGACGCACAGUUCAGUGAUCCUCCCGCCUAGGAUAUCUAUUCUGCUGAUUGGGAGAGCUCCACUGUUCCGGAGCCCAGUCGUUUUGGUACAUAACUUUUAUGUAGUCUUUUGCUCGUCUAUGGGUAUGGCGGGGCCCUGUCCCGUCGAGUUUCAUUACUGUACUCUUAGAGGUCUGUGGACAUUAUGUGGGUUGUAUAUAUAUGUUUUGGGUAAUGGUCUGGACAUGGUUUGUUUGGGAUGUCCGCUUGUACAGGGGUAGCCUUGUCGGCUGCGUACAUCAUUGUGUAUUGCGUAGUGGCAGCCUUGUCGGCUUACGUAUGUUAUUAUGCUUUGAAUAGUGGCGGCCUUGUCGGCUCGCGUAUGUUGUUACGGUUGAAUGGUUAUGACUCCUUACGAGGCAGGUCCUCUUUAUAUAUAUAUGACGUUGGGGUUGGCUUGAUUUAAUUAAAUUCCAUAUUGUCUUAGUUUCAGUUGGUUAUACUUAGCAGGUUUGUAUGUGGGUGUCCAAAACGGGCACUAGUCACAGCCCAUCAGGUUGGGUCGUGACAAAGAGUGGUAUCAGAGCGGUUCUUCCUCAAAAGUGUCUACAGACCGUGUCUAGUAGAGUCUUGUUUAUCGGUGUGUUGUGCACCACAUCUAUAAACAGAAAGCUACAGGACAUUUAGGAUGUCAUUCUUUCUUCUUAUUCUAGAUCGUGCGAUAGAGCUAUAUUAACAGGAUAAUCCCUCUUUAACGAAUCCGUGUGUUUUCAGUUAUGCCUCCAAAGAAAGAGACAACGACCCAGAAGGGAAAAUCGAUAGCAGAAGGUACUAGUCAGACCCGGAGAGUUACUAGGGCCCGUGCCCAGUCUAUGCCUGGUAUGAUGCUCCAGUCGGAGAGCUCUGCUACACCCCCACCGCCAGAAGAGCUUAGAGCAGCAGCAGCUCCAGUUCGGGGGACACCACCAGCCCCCGAGGCCCCAACAUCUGAACCUCUAGCUCCUCAGUCAGGGGCGGAGGAUUGGGCCAUGAGAGAUGCGGUUCAAUUGCUGACUAGAUUAGUGGCAGAUCAGGCUCGCAGGCAUGGACUAGGAGUUGAUCAUGCGGACAGAUCUGAUAGUUUAAGGGCUCGUGACUUCUUAAGUUGUAAUCCUCCAGAGUUCUUUGGGUCAAGGCCCCAGGAUGAUCCGCAAGAGUUUAUUCGUCAGAUGCAGCGUACAUUUAGGAUAAUCAAGGCUUCGGAGACCGAGUCUGUUGAGUUGGCUACGUAUCGUUUGCGGGAUGUAGCUAUUAAUUGGUAUGAGUCUUGGGAGUUAUCUAGGGGUGAGGGUGCUCCUCCAGCGGUAUGGGAUGAAUUUGUGGAGGCUUUCCAGGGCCACUUCCUGCCUCCAGAGAUGAAGCGAGCUAGAGUCGAUAGAUUCUUGCGUUUGAAGCAAAAUGGCAGGAGCGUUCGAGAGUAUAGCCUCGAGUUUGAUUCAUUGUCUAGGCAUGCGCCUACUAUUGUGGCUGAUAUGGCAGACAGGGUACAUCAUUAUGUGAUCAGAGAAAUCCAUUCAAGGAAUUGGAAAAUUCCUUGACCAGGUCUUGAAAACCUGGAUUGGAUCGUUAUCUGAUUGAUGGUUGUAUGGUAGUGACUCUUCAGCCAGGUAUGCACAUUGCUCGGGUGCAGGCAUAUGCACAGGGGGUAGAGGAUCGGCAUCGGGGACGUCAGCCAGAUAGAGAUUAUAAUAGAGGCCAGCAUAAGAGGGCUAGAUCAGCAGGUUAUCCUGACGAGUUUCGAAGCGGACAGUCUCAGCAGCAUGUUAGAUUUUCUUCCCAGCCAGCACAGAGUGCACCCCCGCGUUUCAUGGGUAGGGGGUUCGAUCGUAUGGGAUAUUCGGAAGCUGGUCAGAGCUCUAGGGCGUCAGGCUCACAGAUGGGUCGGGGUUUGAGCCAGUCGAGGCCACCUUUGCCUCGGUGUUCUCGUUGUGGUAAGUCCCAUCCUGGGGAAUGUCGUUGGGAUACUGGUGCGUGUUUUUCUUGCGGCCGUCAGGGCCAUACUAUGAGGGAGUAUCACCUUAGAGGUAGUGCAGGUGGUAUGGCACAACCUACAGGGUCCGUUGCUGGUUCAUCUUCUUCUGUGGCUAUGCGCCCUACGGGGCAGGGUAUUCAGGCGCCAGCAGGCCGUGGUAGAGGACGUGGUGGAGCUUCCAGUUCUAGCGGUGCCUCGAACCGUAUAUAUGCUUUGACUAAUAGGCAGGAUUAGGAGGCGUCACCUAAUGUGAUCACAGAUAUAUUAUCACUAUUCUCCCGAAGUGUGUAUACAUUGAUAGACCCAGGUUCCACCUUAUCAUAUAUAUCUCCCUUUGUUGCUAGUAGGAUCGGAAUAGAGUCUGAGUUGAUAGAACCAUUUGAGGUAGCUACACCUAUAGGAGAUUUUGUCAUAGCUACGCGAGUAUAUAGGAAUUGUUCAGUAGUUAUAUAUAGUCGUCGUACCGUAGCAGAUCUAAUAGAGUUAAAUAUGAUUGAGUUUGAUAUUAUCAUGGGCAUGGAUUGGUUGGCUGCUUGUUAUGCUAAUGUUGAUUGCAGAGGAAAGAUAGUUCGAUUUCAAUUUCGAGGGGAACCGAUUAUAGAGUGGAAGGGAAGUACAGUAUCGUCGAAAGGUAAGUUCAUUUCAUACCUCAAGGCCGGGAAGAUGGUUAGAAAAGGCUAUAUUUACCAUCUGAUUCGGGUGCAUGACAUAAAGGCAGAGGCACCGACUCUUCAAUCAGUCCCGGUAGUUAAUGAAUUUCCCGAUGUAUUCCCCGAGGAACUUCCAGGCCUUCCUCCAGAACGAGAGAUAGAGUUUACUAUAGAUGUACUGCCAGAUGCCCAGCCUAUAUCUAUACCUCCUUAUAGAAUGGCACCUGCUGAGUUGAAAGAAUUGAAAGAGCAAUUGAGUAAUUUGCUAGAAAAGGGCUUCAUCAAGCCUAGUACGUCACCUUGGGGAGCACCGGUACUGUUUGUGAGGAAGAAGGAUGGGUCUCUGCGGAUGUGCAUUGAUUAUAGGCAGUUGAACAAAGUAACAAUAAAGAACAGGUAUCCCCUCCCAAGGAUUGACGAUCUAUUUGACCAGUUGCAGGGUGCAAAGUGUUUUUCAAAGAUAGACUUGCGGUCAGGUUAUCAUCAGGUGCGGGUAAGGGAGGCAGAUAUUCCUAAGACGGCAUUCCGGAUCCGAUAUGGGCAUUAUGAGUUUAGAGUGCUGUCUUUUGGGCUGACUAAUGCUCCAGCGGUGUUCAUGGAUUUAAUGAAUCGAGUAUUUAAACCAUUCCUUGAUAUGUUUGUUAUUGUAUUUAUAGACGAUAUUCUGGUCUAUUCACGUUCAGAAGAGGAGCAUGCAGAUCAUUUAAGGAAGGUACUUAGGGUGCUUUAGCACCAGAAGUUGUAUGCUAAAUUUUCUAAGUGCGAGUUCUGGUAAGAAUUUACUUUGCUUCUAGUCGAGACAAUACAAGGGCCAACGGCUUUUGGUAUUCAAAAUGUGUUGGGUUAUUAGUACUAUUUUUCCAAUGUUCAUUUUUUUCUUUUUGGUGAUAUGAAAAAUUGACUUUUUUAUUUUAUUUUUAUUGUUGGCUUUUUUUGGUUUGUGUAUUCAAGAAAAUUUAGAUGUUAUGGUGUAAAAAGUAUAUAUGUUUUUUAACACCUAGAAUGUGGUCUUAAUCGGCUAAAAUAUGUAUUUUUUUUAACUGCAGAUUCUGCGUUCAAUGAUAUCGUAAAGGAUUGAUAUAAUAUCAACCAGCCAAACAGUAUGUUGGUGGUAUCAUUGAUUACUUUGAUUAUGUUGAAUUCAAGAAUCUCAAUCUUACUGACUCGGAAAAGAUGAUCGAUUUAUGUGGUUACAUGAAUGAUUCAAUAAUAUUUUGACAUAAAUGUGAGAAGCUUGGAAACAAAUGGAGAUUUGUCUCUACGGAGGUUGUAAAAGCGCAUAACAUAAAAAAAUUUAUCCUCAAAUAUAGAGUAGUAAAGUUAUAUUUUGAGCAUUUGGACUCUUAUAUUGGAAUAGACGAUACAAUUGAGUUUGGUUGCAUUCCAGGGAAUGAAAAUCGAUGUCGUUGGACCUGUUGAAAAAGAGUUUGAAAGGGAAAACUUAUCCUCGGGAGAUGAUUUUGAGGAUUAUGAAAAUGAAUUCUCCAAUGACGAGCUGAUGGUUGAUAAUUUUGAGGAUGACAGAGAGCUUAUUACCGAUGAAAUUUAAAAAAAAAUGUUACAUGAAAAUGGAGAUCCUUAUUGUGUUAACUCUGAAGAAAAUAAGAGUUUGGAUGGUGAUUCAGACAAUGAAAGUUUUGAUUUUCCGAAGCACAAUGCAAAGACUGGUUGGGGAAAAAAAUCCAAUUUUGGCUUUGAAAUACACUUUUGAAUGCAAGGAAGAGUUCAAAAAUGUUUUACCAACUCAUGAGGUAAGCCAAGGAAAAGAUAUUCAGUGAAAAAAGAAUGAUAAAGGAUGACGGCACAAUGAUUGUACCUGGGAAAUAAUGGCAUAUUCAUUCUUUGGAACUGAGCCAAGAAAACAGAGGUUUUGUUUAAGAUCUUUGUAUGUCACGUGAGUUGUAUAUCUUUGUUUAAUGUGACACAAAAAAAUUUGUGUAGUUAGAUUUUAGGAUAAAAGACUAAAUUGAUAAGUUUUUAACAUAGAUAAAAAAACCUUUUCAUAAGCUACAUACACGAGGGAUCAAAUCAAUCUAAGUCCAUACAUUUAAGGACUAUUUUCAUCAUUUUCUCCUACAUUUUCAAUUUUAAAUUAUCGAUUUAAAAAAAUGAAAAUAUAAAUGUUGAUAUGAAAAGCUUUAUUAAUUAAAUAAACAAUCUAAUUAUCGUAGUUUCAUUCUAAAUUACAUGAUUUUAUAGCAAUAUUAUUGGUUCAAUCAACAAUAUUCAAUCUACUUGAUCGUAAAUUAUGUGACUUUACGUUUCUAUAAAUGACUAUAUAAUAGAAAUAAACAAAUUAAAGUAUAUUUGUGCAAAAUUAUGGUGAGGAAAGAAAUACUUAAAUUUUAUUCAAAUAUAGUUAUGCACAAAAUUCAAAAGUUAGAAAGAUUUUUUUAAUUAUUUUUUUGAUAUUCGUUGCUCGUAAUAACACUCAUUUAAUACAUACUUGUGUCACAUAAGAUCCAUUAAUAUUAAAAAUUUAUAUUUCAACUUUCAAUCUUGUAGGGUGCAUUGCAAGAAGAAAUAAUUAAGUUGCUAUACUGAAACAUUACCGUUGAGAUUGUACUUCUAUAAUAAAAUUAAACACAUAAUUUAAUCGUAUCAAGAUUAUCAGAGUGUUGAAUAAAUGAUUUUUUUCAAAAAAAAGACUACGCAUGUUUAGCGUUGAAGAUGUAGAAAAAGUAUCAAGAGUUGUUAAUACUUUGGACACCCUUAGCAUAAUAAGUUACUAUGGCUUAGCAAUUGGAUGCUCUCUUGUAGGGUCCAAACGCGCAGGUUCGAACCCAUGUACCAACUCAUCUUUGUAGUUAUUUAUUAAGUAACUCUUCUUUUUUUUUUUGAACUCGUAAUUUAUAAGUUUUAAAUUCGAAGCUAUGAGUACGUAUAUUAUUUUUGACUUAAAAUAAGUAUUAAAUCUUUUAUUUAUUUAUUUUAUUCAAAUCUUACAAAUUGCUCAACGAACCCACUACAGAAACACUCAAUCUGAUGCAACAAUUUUGGCAACUGACAAGUGUUCAUUUCGAACUCCUUGUACAAAAUGAUAUAUAUGCGAAUUUAAAUUUGAAAUCUAAAUAUAAAUUUUGAACUUUUAAAUUUGUGAAUCAAAUUCUUAUUUUAUGUUUAGGGGAUUAAAGAAAAAUAAAAAUUACCUUAUAGGUUUAGUAUAAUUUUUUAUUGAAAAAAAGUUCUAAAAACACAUCUCUCUUUUUUAUACUACUUUUAUCAUGGUGUGUGUAAUACACUCUUUUAUUUUAAAAAAAUUGUCACAACACACUAUACAUGGAUAAAAUUAGGGGUGUGCAUCAGUCGGUUCGGUUCGAUUUUAUAUAUUAUCGAUUCGAUUUAUUGAUUUUUUCGAUUUUUAAAUAUGUUAACCCGAUAACAAACCAAUAAGAUAUUCUUUGUCGGUUUUCGAUUUAUCGAUCUUUUAUCAUUAUCUGUUCGGUUUUCGAUUUACCCAAUAAGAAAAUGUCCGUAAAAUAUUAUAUGUCUUCUCACUUCUCUAAAUGUUUUUGAUAUAGUGAAACAAGAAAGAUGAUGAAAGAUUACAUCAAUAAGAUAAAAUAUAGUACGACUGUUAUAAUUACAUGUUAUCAACAAACAUAGUAUGCAUUUUUUUAUGUUAAUCAAGUUACAGACCUUUACAAACUUGCAAAUUCUACAACCUAAAUUUACAAACUAAAACCGGAAAAUGGUCUAAAAUGCCCUUGAAGUAUCAGAAAUGGUACAAAAUUACCCUCCAUCCACCUAUUGGCUCCAAAAUACCCUUCUCAUCCACCUUUUGGCUCCAAAAUAUCCUUCUCAUCCACCUUUGAGUUCAAAAUGAACCACUUAUUUAACGAUUUUAAAUUUUAUCUAGUUAAAAAAAAUUUUAAUACACGACGCUCAACUAUUUGUUAUAAUUUAACUUAUUAAUAUAAUUUAUUAACCAAUCUACUACCCACUCAUCGCUAAUUAAACCACAGCCAAUUAAUAAAUCUGCUUCAUUACUAAUGCAGAACAAGAAAGCUACUAAAAUGAGUAUUUCUAAAAAUUUAAGGCAAAAAUGUCUAUAGAAGUACAUUAUCAUACAUUCAAGUCCUUAAUCAAAAUUAUAAUUCAAGUGUCUGAAUAAAAAUUAACGAUAAACUUAAAAGUCUGACUAUAUUCAUCUUUAUUAUUCAUUUGUCUCAAUUAUGUGAUGUUACUUAAUAGAUAACUUUUUAAAAAAGAAUAUAUUAAAGUUUUAUUAUAUAAAACAAAUAAUAAAUAUUUAUAAAAUUAUAUUUAAAAGUGCAUGAAUUAAUUCGAGAGGUGCUACUUCUUUACCUUCAAUCAUAAAUUUCGAAUUCAAGCUUGAAACAAAAUCCUAUUGAAUGCUUCCUCCUAAAUAAGCGGCUCAACCUAAAUUUAAUUGGGGCUUCAAUUCGGACUCAAUAAUUUUGAAUGUCAUUUUCAGGAAUCGAUAAUUUCGUCGUGCUUUAGUAGUGUUAAGUGUAAUUUUGAUAUUAGAAAUGGUUUGUUAAUUGGGUGGGACUUAAUUUGUAAUGGGUGGUAGUGGGUUGGUUUAUAAAUAAUAAUAAUAAAUUAAAUUAUAUCCAAUAGUUGAGCGCCAAAUAUUUUAAAAAAUAUUUAAAUAGUUUAAAUUUGAAACCGUUAAAUAAGUGGUCAAUUUUGAACCCGAAGGUGGAUGACAAGGGUAUUUUGGAGCCAAUAGGAGGGUGAAAAGGGUAUUUUGGAGCCAAUAGGUGGAUGGAGGGUAGUUUUGUACCAUUUUCAAUAUUUCGAGGGUAUUUUAGGCCCUUUUCCGAAACUAAAACUAAAAUAAACUAGUCCAACAAGACUAAAACUAAAACUAAAAUCAAAUAGCUUCAAUUGUGAACCCUUAAUUUAAUCUUUAGGUUUUGAGUAAAUAGUAAAAUCUAGUAAAGCGGUCUAGUGUGAAGUUGCUAGAGUCCUAAUAAUUUGACAUAGUUAUAGUGUUUAAUUAUAUAUUAAAUUAUUUAUACUUAAUAAUUAGACAGGAUAAAAUAACAAAUUAUUAUCGUCGUAUUGAGUUAUCGAUUUUCCAAUAACCCAAUAGUAAAAAUUGAUACCGAAUCAAUAACCCAAUUUUUUUUAUAAACCCAUUAAAAACUCAAUAACCCAAUAAAAAUAACUCAAUAACAUUUUUCGGUUCAAUUUCCGCACACCCCUAGAUAAAAUAUUCAACUUUGACAAAAAUUAAAUAAAUUAUUAACAUUAGUUAAAAUUAAAAAUUAAAAAUUACUAUCCAAAAAAAUAAUACUUCUUUUAUAAAAUAAAAUAUAAAAUAUUUUUCUUACCCCACUUCAUCACUUUCUCUCACUAGACCCACCCCACCCCACACCCUACCAUAUUUUAAAAUUCUUUUGUUUUGUUUAAAUUUCUUUUAUAAAAGAGUUUAACUUCUUCUUUUUAAUUCAUCUCCCCGCCGCGCUGAAAUACUAAUUUAGAGAUUAUUUUAUUUUUUUAAAAAAAACAAUUCUGCCCACCCCACCUAGCUAACCCUCUGCUUCCAAUUUUUUUUCCAUUUUGUGUUAUAUAUAUAUAUAUAUAUAUAUAUAUAUAUAUAUAUAUAUAUAUAUAUAUAUAUAUAUAUAUAUAUAUAUAUAUAUCUUUUACUUGUCGCGACAAGACAUUUUUUAAUUUUUACUUAUUUAUGUAAUAUUUGGUAUACUAAUAUUUUCUUUUUUUCUAAAAAUAUAUGUAUGUACAUAUCUAACACAAAAUGAAAAAAAGAAAAAAAAAUUAGGUUUGGAGGGUUAAAUAGGAUGGAAUAAGAAAAUAAAAUAAUAUUAAUUUUUUUUUUGGCUGGGGUGGGGGAAUGAGUGGGUGACCUUUUUUGGGAGGGAGAAGUGAAGUAUGAAUUUUUUAAGAAUAUUUUAUAAAAGUUUUUUUUAAUAAAAAAAAAAGGAUGUGGGAUUGUGUGUGGGGGGUACGUAGAGGAGGUGGUGGAGUGGGGUAAGAAAAAUAAAAAUAAAAAUAAAAAUAAAAAUUUAUAACUAUUGAUAGUUAAUUGUUUAACUUUGUCAAGGUAAAAUAUUUAUCUAUGUGAAAUGUCAUGUGUCAAUGAUUUUUUCAAAUUAAAAGAGAGACACACUGAGGUGUAUUUCUCAAAUUAAAAUAUCACAAUCUCAAUAGUUUACGUGUGAAACUCAAAAAAAAAAAACAUAAUUUAGAUAUAUUUUUGAUACUUAUUUCUUUUUUUUAAUUGAAGACUAAUAAAUACCCUCCAAUUCCCUAGAUCCACCCUUGCCCUUCUCUCUCCUAAUGGUAAAAAAAUUUAGGAAAUAUUUUCUUUUAAGGGUCCUAACAUGAUGGUGAUGAAAUUCAAGAUUUACCAAACAGAAAUUAAGAAGGCAAAAGCGACAUUUUAUUGUUAUAAAUUGGAGGGAGCCAAAAGGUAGUAAUAACCACAAAAAUUUCAUCUCCAUUUUGAUUCCCAUAAGUUAUACACACAUCUUUACCUCUAAGAAUGGGAAUUCAAAAGGUAUAAUAUGUUUUUUUUCAAGAUUUUUUAGAAGUUCAAAGACCAAUUCAUUAUUUAUCAACCAUAUACUCAUGAUUAAUUCAUUGAUCAUUUUGUUAAAUCAUAAAACAUAUGUUUGAAUGUUUAUCUAAAGUUUUUUCCCUUUUUUUAUGGGUUUUGAAAUAGGAGUUUGAUUUGAUGGCAGUCUCAACCAAAGGUGAUGACACACCAUUGAUAUUGAGGAAGAAUUUGUGUGUCAAUGUGGUGGAACCUAAUAUUAAAAAUGAAAUAUCUUCACAAAAAUUGGACAUAAUUUUGACUCAAUUUAUGGAGAUACUGUCCAAGAGGAAAAAGUAUCAUAUUGGUAAGCAUACGUUUAAGUCUUUUCGUAAAAACAUAUUUACUUUUAACUCAACAUAAUUAAACAAACAUUAGAGAGGUAAAAUCUCUAUAGACGGUAUGACUUUGAGGUUUAAAAUUCACUUUUUAUAUUAGAAAAUCACUCAAUUUUGUGUUGUAACUCAAAGUCAUUCAAGUAUAGAUUUUUCACUUAGAAAGUUAUUCAGCUUUGUUUUAUAUCUCAAGAGUCUUUCAAUUAUAUUAAUGAUAUUUCACUCUGAAAAUCACCCUAAACAAUUUUUAAAUUAAUGUUGUUGAAAUACAUUUUAUAUUAAGCUAAAUUUUUAAAGAACAAAAAGAUACUCAUUUGAACUAUUCUAUUGAUUACAUAACUCAAUUCCUUUGUUUAUCAAAGUAUUUAUGAGUUGAAAGGCAUACAUUGGUUAUCCCUAACUAAUUUUAUAACUUAUUUAAACGUUUUGAUUUGAUCAAACACUUAUGAUUUUAUUCUUAAUUUACAGGUUAUCCAAUUAACGUGUGUUACGAACAUCAUGCCACUUUAGCCCCACUUUUGCAAUUUCAUUUGAACAAUUGUGGAGACCCCUUUACUCAGCACCCUACAGAUUUUCAUUCAAAAGAUUUUGAAGUGGCUGUUUUAGAUUGGUUUGCACAACUCUGGGAAAUAGAGAAAGAUGAAUAUUGGGGAUACAUUACUAGUGGUGGCACUGAGGGCAAUCUCCAUGGCCUUUUGGUUGGGUAGGGUUUCACUUUCAGAGGCGAAUCUAGUUUUUGAGCUACGAAUUUAUUUAUAUAGUCGGAGAUGUCUAAAUGAUAUAAUGUGCUUUUAUCACUUUUAUGCAUUAUUAUAUAUUUGUGCAGAAGAGAGCUACUUCCAAGUGGGAUAUUAUAUGCAUCAAAAGAUUCACAUUACUCGAUUUUCAAAGCAGCAAGAAUGUAUCGAAUGGAGCUACAAACUAUCAACACUUUAGUUAAUGGGGAGAUUGAUUAUGAAGAUUUGAAAUCAAAGUUGCUUGUCAACAAGAACAAACCAGCUAUCAUCAAUAUCAAUAUUGGUAAAAAUACAUACAUAUAUAAUCCUACAUCUUAUAACAUCACCUUUGGUAAAUUAGUAUAUAUCUGUGUAUAGGAACAACCUUCAAAGGAGCUAUUGAUGACCUUGAUUUCGUCGUACAAACACUUGAAAAUUGUGGAUAUUCCAGUGAUAGAUAUUACAUCCAUUGCGAUGCAGCCUUGAGUGGCUUAAUUCUCCCCUUUAUCAAACAUGUAAGCUUAUUUUUGUUCAAUUUUCCUUCAACGUUUUUCGAUCGAAGUUACAAUGACAUAGUCUCUUUCUAUGGUAUUUGACAAUAGGCAAAAAAAAUUACCUUCAUGAAACCAAUUGGAAGUAUUUCAGUUUCAGGGCACAAAUUCUUGGGAUGUCCAAUGCCUUGUGGCAUUCAGAUAACAAGGAAAACUUAUGUUAGCACCCUCUCAAAAAUUGAGUAUAUUGCCUCAAUAGACACAACAAUUUCUGGUAGUCGAUAUGGAUUGACACCAAUAUUCUUGUGGUACUAUUUAAACAUGAAAGGACAUGCCGGAUUGCAACAAGAUUCCAUAACAUGCAUUGAGAAUGCUCGAUAUUUGAAAGAUAAACUUGUUAAAGCAGGAAUAGGUGCUAUGCUCAAUGAAUUUAGCAUUAUAGUUGUUUUUGAACGACCUUGUGAUCAUAAAUUCAUUCUCCGUUGGCAACUGUGUUACUUAAGUGGCUUGGCACAUAUUGUGGUUAUGCCAGGUAUCACAAGAGAAAUAAUAAAUAGUUUCUUCAAUGAACUAAUGCAAGAGAGGAAGAGGUGGUUUCAGGAUGGAAAAACUAAGCCUCCUUGUCUAGCAGAUGAGUUUGGCUCUCAAAAUUGUAUGUGCUCCCAUAACAAG
This 40423-nucleotide long non-coding RNA is filed under the name Solanum lycopersicum (tomato). RNAcentral's name for it is "long non-coding RNA (SLYC_LNC000555)". The stretch from base 3319 to 3389 matches the Rfam family "MIR8041 microRNA precursor family". The record is from RNAcentral. Lineage: Eukaryota; Viridiplantae; Streptophyta; Magnoliopsida; Solanales; Solanaceae.